CCUACGGGUGGCAGCAGUAGGGAAUCUUUCACAAUGGGCGAAAGCCUGAUGGAGCAACGCCGCGUGCAGGAUGAAGGCCCUCGGGUUGUAAACUGCUUUUAUAAGCGAGAAAUAUGAUGGUAACUUAUGAAUAAGGAUCGGCUAACUACGUGCCAGCAGCCGCGGUCAUACGUAGGAUCCGAGCAUUAUCCGGAGUGACUAGGUGUAAAGAGUUGCGUAGGUGGCAUAAUAAGUAGCUAGUGAAAUCUGGUGGCUCAACCAUUCAGACUAUUGGCUAAACUGUUAAGCUCGAGACCGUUAGGGGUAACUGGAAUUUCUGGUGUAGGGGUGAAAUCCGUAGAUAUUAGAAAGAACACCGAUAGCGUAGGCAGGUUGCUGGGACGGUUCUGACACUGAGGCACGAAAGCGUAGGGAGCAAACGGGAUUAGAUACCCUGGUAGUC
This 442-nucleotide ribosomal RNA is filed under the name uncultured bacterium. RNAcentral describes it as "partial 16S ribosomal RNA". It matches the Rfam family "Bacterial small subunit ribosomal RNA", at positions 338 to 795 of the family's 1533-position model. The record is from RNAcentral.